Molecule: long non-coding RNA, 679 nt
Organism: Lolium perenne
Lineage: Eukaryota; Viridiplantae; Streptophyta; Magnoliopsida; Poales; Poaceae
Source: RefSeq, a predicted model, not a curated record
CCUCCGGAUUACCGUCGUCCAACUAGCGCUACAAAUAUCAGCCAACUCGACAAAGACACUUCUCCAGCAACAAGUAGAACCAUCGCCACUUACGUGCAGUCAUCGAUCGAGAUUUCGAGAACAAGGCUAACAAAAAGUGUGCCCCUCCUUGCAGCGAGAUUUCGAGCGCUGGUGCCGUGAAUUUCGCGGCGAUUAUUGUGAUGAUGGGGCUCGAUAACUCUAGCCUGGAAAGAGAAAGGAAAGAAGAGAAGGGACCCCAAGCAGAAACCAUGACGAGCCAGGAGGCGGACGAGUGCCGUGAGCGGCUCUUCAAGGCCCUUAUGGCUUGCACGAACAGCGGUGACAUGGAAAGCUUCAACUGCCAAGUCUACUUCGAAUUGCUUAACAAGUGUCGGGAUGCUAAAUAAGGAUAUGUUGGCAUUUCUCCAUGUUUGACAAGGAUUUAUGGAUAAAUAGGUAGAUUAUAAGGAUAAAUAGGUAGAUUAUAAGGAACACAGGUAGUGGUUUAUCACUUAUGAUCAUUACCUGACUUGAUACUACUUUGAUACAGUGGAUAUAGGUGGACGGUAAGUGUUAGAGUGUGGUAUAUAUUCAGUUGUGAAAAGAUAGAAUAGGGACAACAUAUUACAUAUGUUCCGAACUUGUCUUGUAUUAAAAGUUGAUCUCUUCUACCACUGUG